RNAcentral lists this ribosomal RNA (632 nucleotides) under uncultured bacterium. RNAcentral's name for it is "bacterial SSU rRNA". The stretch from base 1 to 542 matches the Rfam family "Bacterial small subunit ribosomal RNA", at positions 338 to 873 of the family's 1533-position model. The record is from RNAcentral.
CCUACGGGAGGCAGCAGUGGGGAAUUUUGGACAAUGGGCGCAAGCCUGAUCCAGCAAUGCCGCGUGAGUGAAGAAGGCCUUCGGGUUGUAAAGCUCUUUUGUCAGGGAAGAAACGGUUGGGGCUAAUAUCCUCGGCUAAUGACGGUACCUGAAGAAUAAGCACCGGCUAACUACGUGCCAGCAGCCGCGGUAAUACGUAGGGUGCAAGCGUUAAUCGGAAUUACUGGGCGUAAAGCGUGCGCAGGCGGUUUUGUAAGUCUGUCGUGAAAGCCCCGGGCUUAACCUGGGAAUUGCGAUGGAGACUGCAAGGCUUGAAUCUGGCAGAGGGGGGUAGAAUCCCACGUGUAGCAGUGAAAUGCGUAGAGAUGUGGAGGAACACCGAUGGCGAAGGCAGCCCCCUGGGUCAAGAUUGACGCUCAUGCACGAAAGCGUGGGGAGCAAACAGGAUUAGAUACCCUGGUAGUCCACGCCCUAAACGAUGUCUACUAGUUGUCGGGUCUUAAUUGACUUGGUAACGCAGCUAACGCGUGAAGUAGACCGCCUGGGGGAGGUACGGUCGCGAGAAGUUAAACGUUAAAGUAAAGUUAGUACGGCGUGAGACGUAGACCGACGGACGACGACGAGGGAGGAGG